GUAGGGAAUAUUGCGCAAUGGGGGAAACCCUGACGCAGCGACGCCGCGUGAGUGAUGAAGGCCUUCGGGUCGUAAAGCUCUGUUGCAGGGGAAUAAAAAAAUGAAGGUACCCUGUGAGGAAGGAUCGGCUAACUUCGUGCCAGCAGCCGCGGUAAGACGAGGGAUCCUAGCGUUGCUCGGAAUCAUUGGGCGUAAAGAGGGCGUAGGUGGCUUGGUAAGUCAGGUGUGAAAGCCCAGGGCUCAACCCUGGAAGUGCAUUUGAUACUGCUGAGCUUGAGUGUCGGAGAGGUUACCGGAAUACCUGGUGUAGUGGUGAAAUACGUAGAUAUCAGGUGGAACACCGGAGGCGAAGGCGGGUAACUGGACGUACACUGACACUGAGGCCCGAAAGCGUGGGGAUCAAACAGGAUUAGAAACCCUAGUAGUCC
Molecule: ribosomal RNA, 428 nt
Filed under: uncultured bacterium
Lineage: Bacteria
Description: partial 16S ribosomal RNA
Rfam family: Bacterial small subunit ribosomal RNA
Source: RNAcentral